This 129-nucleotide non-coding RNA is filed under the name Methanobrevibacter woesei. Its description in RNAcentral is "FMN riboswitch (RFN element)". It matches the Rfam family "FMN riboswitch aptamer (RFN element)". From Rfam's summary of the family: The RFN element is a highly conserved domain that is found frequently in the 5'-untranslated regions of prokaryotic mRNAs that encode for flavin mononucleotide (FMN) biosynthesis and transport proteins. This element is a metabolite-dependent riboswitch that directly binds FMN in the absence of proteins. The record is from RNAcentral. Lineage: Archaea; Methanobacteriati; Methanobacteriota; Methanobacteria; Methanobacteriales; Methanobacteriaceae.
GGUUCUCAGGGCGGAGUGAAAGUCUCCACCGGUGGUGAUUACAUAUUCUGUAUAAGUCCACGAGCAUUUAAUAAUGUUGAUUUGGUGUAAAUCCAAAACCGACGGUGAUAGUCCGGAUGGAAGAGAAUU